RNAcentral lists this ribosomal RNA (89 nucleotides) under Enterobacter sp. ENT03. Lineage: Bacteria; Pseudomonadati; Pseudomonadota; Gammaproteobacteria; Enterobacterales; Enterobacteriaceae. The record is from RNAcentral.
CCUGGCGGCACUAGCGCGGCGGUCCCACCUGACCCCAUGCCGAACUCAGAAGUGAAACGCCGUAGCGCCGAUGGUAGUGUGGGGUCUCC